This 216-nucleotide non-coding RNA is filed under the name Enterococcus sulfureus. RNAcentral describes it as "T-box sequence". It matches the Rfam family "T-box leader". From Rfam's summary of the family: Uncharged tRNA acts as the effector for transcription antitermination of genes in the T-box leader family. Lineage: Bacteria; Bacillati; Bacillota; Bacilli; Lactobacillales; Enterococcaceae. The record is from RNAcentral.
CAAAAAUCGCUGAAGGAACAAGUACCUAUAUUUUUCUUUACAAAGAGAGAACUACCGUGGCUGCAAGUAGUUCAAGAAGAUGUAGCGAAUAGACAUUCUGGAGAUGAGUGGAAGAAAAGCCAUAUCCGUGUACGAGCGUUAAUCGUUUGAAGGAAAAGAGCAAGCUCUUUUCAAAUUUAGGUGGUACCGCGUGUCGAAAAUUGACUCGCCCUUGUG